UACGGAGGGUGCAAGCGUUGCUCGGAAUCAUUGGGCGUAAAGCGCACGUAGGCGGCCUGUUAAGUCGGGUGUGAAAGCCCUGGGCUCAACCCAGGAAGUGCACUCGAAACUGGCGGGCUUGAAUAUGGAAGAGGGUCGCGGAAUUCCCGGUGUAGAGGUGAAAUUCGUAGAUAUCGGGAGGAACACCAGUGGCGAAGGCGGCGACCUGGGCCAAUAUUGACGCUGAGGUGCGAAAGCUAGGGGAGCAAACGGG
This 253-nucleotide ribosomal RNA is filed under the name uncultured bacterium. RNAcentral's name for it is "partial 16S ribosomal RNA". It matches the Rfam family "Bacterial small subunit ribosomal RNA", at positions 524 to 776 of the family's 1533-position model. The record is from RNAcentral.